GACGAACGCCGGCGGCGUGCUUAACACAUGCAAGUCGAACGGAAAGGCCCUGCUUUUGUGGGGUGCUCGAGUGGCGAACGGGUGAGUAACACGUGAGUAACCUGCCCUUGACUUUGGGAUAACUUCAGGAAACUGGGGCUAAUACCGGAUAGGAGCUCCCGCUGCAUGGUGGGGGUUGGAAAGUUUCGGCGGUUGGGGAUGGACUCGCGGCUUAUCAGCUUGUUGGUGGGGUAGUGGCUUACCAAGGCUUUGACGGGUAGCCGGCCUGAGAGGGUGACCGGCCACAUUGGGACUGAGAUACGGCCCAGACUCCUACGGGAGGCAGCAGUGGGGAAUAUUGCACAAUGGGCGGAAGCCUGAUGCAGCAACGCCGCGUGCGGGAUGACGGCCUUCGGGUUGUAAACCGCUUUCGCCUGUGACGAAGCGUGAGUGACGGUAAUGGGUAAAGAAGCACCGGCUAACUACGUG
This 468-nucleotide ribosomal RNA is filed under the name uncultured bacterium. RNAcentral describes it as "partial 16S ribosomal RNA". It matches the Rfam family "Bacterial small subunit ribosomal RNA", at positions 28 to 507 of the family's 1533-position model. The record is from RNAcentral.